This 29-nucleotide non-coding RNA is filed under the name Rattus norvegicus (Norway rat). The record is from RNAcentral. Lineage: Eukaryota; Metazoa; Chordata; Mammalia; Rodentia; Muridae.
UGCAGAGUGAUUUUCAGGACAGCCAGGAC